UCAACUUAGAGCCUUCUCUUUCUCCGUCUCACCCGCUUUCGACGGCGGCGUACCUUCACCGGACAACGCUGCUUGCGGUUGCGCCGCCCCAUUUUGAUUGUUGCUCAUUUUCUUCAUACUUUGUUGGUGGUAAACUUGCCUCAAUCUCUCUAUUUCCUUCUUUAAUGCCUCUUGAUGAGCUACAUUUAUUACAAAACAAAUAAAAACACAUUACCAACCAAACUACUCCUUACAAAAAUAUAGCACUACCUUCCUAUUCAUAGCUUCUCAUAAAACAAUAAUCAUAUUACAUAAUAUUUUUUAAAAUAAUAAUUAAAUGUAUAACCACGUUAAAAAAAUAAUAUUAAUAUAAUAAAAUUUAUCACCAAUAUUACUAAUAAAUCUUUAUUCUCAUUAUGACGUUGAAAAAUAAACUUUUUUUCUAAUACUCUCAAUAUUAUUUUGAGCAUGUUGGAUAUAUUUGACAUAUAAAUUAAAUAAAUCGGUUAAAUUGUACGCUUGGUCUCUGUAUAUGAUUUAAUAAAAUUAUCAUAUAUAAUCUAUAUAGAGAUUAAAUUUUAAUUACGAUGAUAAAAAAAAUUAAACUAUAAUUAAUGUUAUUCUUUGAUCUAUAGGAGCCGACUUACAAUUUAUUCAAAAUUAUAUAUCAUCUAAUUAAUGAUGUGUUCAAACAAGUGUAAGAACUAAAGAGUACAUAGUAGGAAGUGGAUAGUAGUGAAAAAAUUGUGGUGAAUCAUAAAUUGAGAGAGAGAAAUGGGUAUGAGAAUGAGGAAUGUACCAUCUUUGAAAAUCUUAUCUUGAGCCAAAGCUGCAAUUCUUUGCUUGAGGGCACUGUUAUCAACAUUUAGAAUCAAUCUUUGGUGGUCUAAAAAUGCAACUCUUGGGGACAAUGCUGAUACUUCAGUCUAUCACAACAAAACCAAAUAUUAAUUCAACACUAAUUAUUUCAUUUACUUAAUCCAAUUCAAUUCAAUUCAUACCUGUAAUGUAGUUACAUUUCUUUCCAGCUCAGAAAUGUAUUGCAAUUUUCUCACUCUCGAUCUUUGUGCUGAUUGUCGAUUUGCCAGUAUUCUAAGGGGAAAAAACCACACCAAUCAUUAUUAUGAUUCUUUAACUAUAAUUUCAUUAUCAUUAUCUUACUGAUUAUCGUGAUUAUAAUUAAGUAUAAUUGAAUGUGUCAAAUAAAUUUCAUACCUUUUAACUCGUUUAGGAUCAAUGGAGUUAUCAACGGCAGAGGAAGGCGGGGGAGGAGGUUGAGAUUGCUGCAGAACUUGAGAAGAGGAGCUAAUUUCACCGUCAGCAGGUUCAUUCUUCAUGGGCGGGGGCAGG
RNAcentral lists this long non-coding RNA (1329 nucleotides) under Cucumis sativus (cucumber). RNAcentral's name for it is "long non-coding RNA (CSAT_LNC001700)". The record is from RNAcentral. Lineage: Eukaryota; Viridiplantae; Streptophyta; Magnoliopsida; Cucurbitales; Cucurbitaceae.